RNAcentral lists this ribosomal RNA (305 nucleotides) under uncultured bacterium. RNAcentral describes it as "bacterial SSU rRNA". It matches the Rfam family "Bacterial small subunit ribosomal RNA", at positions 335 to 636 of the family's 1533-position model. The record is from RNAcentral.
UCACCUACGGGAGGCAGCAGUGAGGAAUAUUGGUCAAUGGGCGCGAGCCUGAACCAGCCAAGUCGCGUGAGGGAUGACGGCCCUACGGGUUGUAAACCUCUUUUGUCGGGGAGCAAAUUCCGUUACGUGUAACGGAGUCGAGAGUACCCGAAGAAAAAGCAUCGGCUAACUCCGUGCCAGCAGCCGCGGUAAUACGGAGGAUGCGAGCGUUAUCCGGAUUUAUUGGGUUUAAAGGGUGCGUAGGUUGUUUUUUAAGUCAGCGGUGAAAGUUUGUGGCUCAACCAUAAAAUUGCCGUUGAAACUGG